This 214-nucleotide ribosomal RNA is filed under the name uncultured bacterium. RNAcentral's name for it is "partial 16S ribosomal RNA". It matches the Rfam family "Bacterial small subunit ribosomal RNA", at positions 1287 to 1500 of the family's 1533-position model. The record is from RNAcentral.
CCCAGUUCGGAUCGCAGGCUGCAACCCGCCUGCGUGAAGUUGGAAUCGCUAGUAAUCGCGGAUCAGCAUGCCGCGGUGAAUACGUUCCCGGGCCUUGUACACACCGCCCGUCACACCAUGAGAGUCGGGAACACCCGAAGUCCGUAGCCUAACCGCGAAGGGGGCGCGGCCGAAGGUGGGUUCGAUAAUUGGGGUGAAGUCGUAACAAGGUAAC